Molecule: ribosomal RNA, 254 nt
Filed under: uncultured bacterium
Lineage: Bacteria
Description: partial 16S ribosomal RNA
Rfam family: Bacterial small subunit ribosomal RNA
Source: RNAcentral
UACGUAGGGCGCAAGCGUUGUCCGGAAUUAUUGGGCGUAAAGAGCUCGUAGGCGGUGUGUCGCGUCGGCCGUGAAAACCUGCAGCUUAACUGUGGGCUUGCGGUCGAUACGGGCAUCACUGGAGUUCGGCAGGGGAGACUGGAAUUCCUGGUGUAGCGGUGAAAUGCGCAGAUAUCAGGAGGAACACCGGUGGCGAAGGCGGGACUCUGGGCCGAUACUGACGCUGAGGAGCGAAAGCGUGGGGAGCAAACAGG